Molecule: long non-coding RNA, 538 nt
Filed under: Helianthus annuus (common sunflower)
Lineage: Eukaryota; Viridiplantae; Streptophyta; Magnoliopsida; Asterales; Asteraceae
Description: hypothetical non coding rna
Source: RNAcentral
GCCCACAUUGGGUUAUGCUUUGUCGUUGUCGAUAAUUCGAUAAUGAGUUGAAGCAUUGUACUUUGUCGUUGUCGAUAAUUCGAUAAUGAGUUGAAGUACUAUACUUUGUCGUUUGUCGUUAAUACGAUAAAUGAGUUGAAGUAUUGCACUUUAUCAUUCACUGUGAGAAUUUGAUCUCGGGAAAUUAUCGUAACUGCUGUAUUGAGCAUUAACCCGGUUUUUGUGAAAUUCGUUAAGGUUGAUUUAGGUUUUUCACCAAUACGUAUUCCAUUAUGUUAAACCACCAGAAAUACUCCCAACUACACCCUUACAAUCAAAUAAACUAUUAAAUCAUCAGAAGAUCCAGAAUAAUAAAGUGCAUGCUUAAUUAUCGGAAGAAAUAGAAUCAAGAAGUUGUUAACUCAAUCCUGCAUGCUGAUUUGUAAUUACAGUAAACUGGAGUAAGGAUUGGAUCCGGCACUAAAAGACUUCAAGAAGUGGCUUAUUUCAUUAAAUAAAUCAAAUUAAGAAAUAUUGUUUUUAUUAAAAAGCUACCUUU